GACGAACGCUGGCGGCGUGCCUAACACAUGCAAGUCGAACGGAAAGGCCCUGCUUUUGUGCGGACUGGGAGUGGCGACCGGGGGAGUAUCACGUGAGUACCCUGUCCCUGAGUUUGGGUUAACCUAAUGAAACAGGGGCUCUUAUCGGGCAGGAGCUCUUGCCGCAUGGUGGGGGCUGGUAAGAUUCGCCGGUUGGUGUUGGACGUGCGGCACCUCAGCUUGUUGGUGGGGUGGUGGAUUACCAAGGCUUCGACGGGUUGCCGGCCUGGGAGGGUGACCGGCCACAUAGGAACUGGGAUGCGGCCCGGACUCCAACGGGAGGCAGCGGUGGGGAAUAGUGCACGAUGGGCGGAGGCAGGGUGCAACAACGCCGCGUGGGGGAUGACGGCCUGCGGUUAGGAAAGCGCUUUCGCCUGUGACGAAGCGUGAGUGACGGUAAUGGGUAAAGAAGCACCGGCUAACUACGUG
Molecule: ribosomal RNA, 468 nt
Filed under: uncultured bacterium
Lineage: Bacteria
Description: partial 16S ribosomal RNA
Rfam family: Bacterial small subunit ribosomal RNA
Source: RNAcentral